This 328-nucleotide ribosomal RNA is filed under the name uncultured eukaryote. RNAcentral's name for it is "partial 18S ribosomal RNA". It matches the Rfam family "Eukaryotic small subunit ribosomal RNA", at positions 1470 to 1796 of the family's 1831-position model. The record is from RNAcentral.
CCCUUAGAUGUUCUGGGCUGCACGCGCGCUACACUGAUGCGCUCAACGAGUUUACGACCUUGCCCGGAAGGGUUGGGUAAUCUUUUUAAAACGCAUCGUGAUGGGGAUAGAUUAUUGCAAUUAUUAAUCUUUAACGAGGAAUUCCUAGUAAACGCAGAUCAUCAAUCUGCAUUGAUUACGUCCCUGCCCUUUGUACACACCGCCCGUCGCACCUACCGAUUGGAUGGUCCGGUGAAGCCUCGGGAUUGUGGUUCUUGCCGCUUUAUUGUGGCGUGACCGCGAGAACUUGUCUAAACCUUAUCAUCUAGAGGAAGGUGAAGUCGUAACA